UGAGGGUUUCGGAUUAUUGGGGCGUAAAGCGAGCGCAGGCGGUUUUUUAAGUCUGAUGUGAAAGCCCUCGGCUUAACCGAGGAAGCGCAUCGGAAACUGGGAAACUUGAGUGCAGAAGAGGACAGUGGAACUCCAUGUGUAGCGGUGAAAUGCGUAGAUAUAUGGAAGAACACCAGUGGCGAAGGCGGCUGUCUGGUCUGUAACUGACGCUGAGGCUCGAAAGCAUGGGUAGCGAACAGGAUUAGAUACCCUGGUAGUCCAUGCCGUAAACGAUGAAUGCUAGGUGUUGGAGGGUUUCCGCCCUUCAGUGCCGCAGCUAACGCAUUAAGCAUUCCGCCUGGGGAGUACGACCGCAAGGUUGAAACUCAAAGGAAUUGACGGGGGCCCGCACAAGCGGUGGAGCAUGUGGUUUAAUUCGAAGCAACGCGAAGAACCUUACCAGGUCUUGACAUCUUUUGAUCACCUGAGAGAUCAGGUUUCCCCUUCGGGGGCAAAAUGACAGGUGGUGCAUGGUUGUCGUCAGCUCGUGUCGUGAGAUGUUGGGUUAAGUCCCGCAACGAGCGCAACCCUUAUGACUAGUUGCCAGCAUUUAGUUGGGCACUCUAGUAAGACUGCCGGUGACAAACCGGAGGAAGGUGGGGAUGACGUCAAAUCAUCAUGCCCCUUAUGACCUGGGCUACACACGUGCUACAAUGGAUGGUACAACGAGUUGCGAGACCGCGAGGUCAAGCUAAUCUCUUAAAGCCAUUCUCAGUUCGGACUGUAGGCUGCAACUCGCCUACACGAAGUCGGAAUCGCUAGUAAUCGCGGAUCAGCACGCCGCGGUGAAUACGUUCCCGGGCCUUGUACACACCGCCCGUCACACCAUGAGAGUUUGUACACCCGAAGCCGGUGGCGUACCCUUUUAGGGAGCGAGCCGUCUAAGGUGGGACAAUGAUUAGGUGAUCACACAGAGGGGGUACCGUAACC
Molecule: ribosomal RNA, 969 nt
Filed under: Lacticaseibacillus paracasei
Lineage: Bacteria; Bacillati; Bacillota; Bacilli; Lactobacillales; Lactobacillaceae
Description: bacterial SSU rRNA
Rfam family: Bacterial small subunit ribosomal RNA
Source: RNAcentral